ACGAGCGUGCACCUUAUGGGGAGGCAAGCUCCAGGAGCACCGGGACACGGAGAAAACAGGCAAGAAAGCGAAACGCGGGGCAGAAGGCUGGGAGGGGUGCGUGCCCCGGAAACGCUCCCCACGCGCCGUCUGUGCAACACCGCGCGGAAGGGCGGGCCGGGGGAUGCUCGGGGGAUGCAGGAGGUGCGGCCACCUGCGCCCCGGACUAAAGGAAACCCUGGAGAAGACAACCAGCCGCGGUCACGGCGACCGUAAGCGAAGACGCUGCAGCCCGUGGACAGCGCCCCGGGACGCCGGGGGCUCGGGGCGGCGGGUGCCGGGUUCGCGCGGGGGCGGCGGCGGCUUGAGGGCGGGGGCGGCCGGGCGCGGGGUCAGGGCGGCACCUCCCGGCCGGCCCGGCCCAGCCCCGCCCGACUGACCUGUGACGCUGGCCCGGGUGACGCGCUGCACCACGGCCUUCAUGGCGACGGCUGGGGCGAGCGGGGCGGCGCCGCGCGGCUUCCGGCCUCGGGACUCCGCGGGCGGCGCGGCGGGCGGCGCCCUCUGCCGGGGACACCAGGAAGCGCGCCCCGGCCGCUCCGGACCCGCGGGUCGAGCGGCCCGCCCACGUCGGCCGAGCUCAAAGCAGAGCACGGGCUCCAGGCACCCAGGCCUCAGCAGUUGCAGCACAUGGGCUCAGCAGUUGUGCCUGGAGGACUCCAGAGCACAGGCUCAGCAGUGGUGGCGCGUGGGCCGAGCUGCUCCGCACCAUGUGGGAUCCUCCCGGACCAGCGAUCGAACCCACGUCCCCUGCAUUGGCAGGCGGACUCCCAAGCACUGCACCACCAGAGCCAGGGAAGUGCCUACCCCCACGUUCUUUUUCCUUUGUUUUCCUGCCUCUGUAGCUCUUCAGAAACCAGAUAUAAGAGGAUCUGCUGCCUAAAAUAGCGAUUUAAUUGUUUAAGUGUUCAUUUGACCUAGCCAUAUCCUGGCAGUGCGCAGAUACAGGAUUCUGUGAUUGUAAUUCCUUCUCUAAUACUGAUAUCUGGCCCCUCUCACAGGUUUGUUAGAAGAUUUGAAUAAUAAACACUGUGUAAAAGUGUUAGAAAGCUGCAAAGAACUGUACAAGUGUUACCCUAACAAACUAUUAUCACUGGUAAAAACAAGCCCCUCUCAAGUGUGUAUUCUUACAGCCUAACAGUGCUGGUGGGUGUAGAGGGAUGGGAUUCAGGAUGUUCCCAAACCAACUCGGAUCCACUCUACCCUGCUUUUCCUCCGGCACCUCAGAAGUGGCAGUUGGUUUGUGGCCUUUUUGUAACUGAUGGUUCAUAAUUGCCCCUGUGACUGGGCAUGGGUGCAGUUUUGUGCAGUCCUGUAUAGAUUCUUUGUAUCUCUUGCUGGAGGAGAUGUUUGUCCAGGUGCAAGCACGCAGGUAGAGGGUCCCAGGUCCCAGGUCCUAGCCUUUCUCAACCCAACCCUUCUCUCCUGAAACAGGUCAUAAGCCCUCAUGUGAGAGGUGCCCUAUCUGUACAAGGAGAAAAGGAACAGCCUUAUCUCCAAAGACAAAAACACACCAAGAAGAAUCUGAAUCAUCAAGCCUUGCUAAGUCUACUCUGCCUACCACACAUUCCUUAGUCUAUCAUGUUCCUCCAUGACUGUUCAUGCUUCAUCAAACCUAACAACAAAAAUUACACAGGUUAAAAAAAAUGACACAGACCCAGCCAGGGACCCCAAUAGAGUGAGGAAAACUUUUUCCUCUCCUACAAGAGAAAACUUCAAGUGGAGAACAAGGAACAGCCAUUUGGCCAGAAAUGACUAUACUGCUGUGCUUGAGUGUUAAAUACUGCACACUAAAUUGCCAAAGAUAGCAUCACCAGUAAUGAGACAAACAGCAUGUACUUCUGAUAUUGCACUGAGAAAGACACUAUGUCACUAUUGUGGUAUUUCUGCCAAAAAUGUAUAAUCUGAAUCCAAUCAUGAAGAAACAUCAGACAAACCUAAAUUAAGGAACACUCUACAAAAUAACUAGAAGGAUCCUUCAAAAAUGUCAAGGAAAAGACAGUCUGGAGAGGCUCAAGAGGGAGGGGAUUUAUAUGUGUAUAAAUACAGCUGAUUCACUUUGUUGUACAGCAGAAACUGGCACAACAGUGUAAAGCAAUUAUACUCCAAUAAAGAGCUGAAAAAAAAAAAAAGUCUGAAGA
Molecule: long non-coding RNA, 2180 nt
Organism: Hippopotamus amphibius kiboko
Lineage: Eukaryota; Metazoa; Chordata; Mammalia; Artiodactyla; Hippopotamidae
Exons: 3
Source: RefSeq, a predicted model, not a curated record